RNAcentral lists this long non-coding RNA (255 nucleotides) under Mytilus galloprovincialis (Mediterranean mussel). Lineage: Eukaryota; Metazoa; Mollusca; Bivalvia; Mytilida; Mytilidae. The record is from RNAcentral.
GGCAUUUCCCUAGACGCCCUUUUCAACAUUUAUGCUCAAUGUUUGCAAGAGAUAUAAGCAUAAGGGUCUUACAAACGAAAUGAUGUUUUAAUAACGGCACUUAAAUUGUUGACAAAAAAGAGCACAUCAAAUGGACCAGAGUGAUACCGUAUUUUUGUUAAUGUCCACUUCGAAACGGUUUAAAUCACCUUCAGUAUCUGGUUUUAAAAUUAUGAAACAAAAUCAGUGUACAGCUUGAUACGUGUUUUGAUGAAU